This 6029-nucleotide long non-coding RNA is filed under the name Triticum aestivum (bread wheat). RNAcentral describes it as "long non-coding RNA (TAES_LNC003365)". Lineage: Eukaryota; Viridiplantae; Streptophyta; Magnoliopsida; Poales; Poaceae. The record is from RNAcentral.
CACUAUAAUCGUCAAGACUUCUACUAUGUGGCUAACGAGAAGAGAGAAGGGCAUGAAAGAAAUACGUCAAGGCUUGAGCGUGAAGGAAAGAAGUAAUGUAGGGGAGCAAACUAAAAGAAGAGGAGGAUCUUCUUGGGAAGAAAGAAGAAAGGAGGAGGGCCAAAGUAAAAAAAGACAGAACAGAGGAGGGGAUCAAAAAUCCCUAGCGCAGCCGAUCCCCAUCAGGCCUGCAUCUCACCUCUCUCCCUCACCCCUCCUUCUCCACCACCGGCCGUCGCCGCGGCCAGGCCGGCGUGGCGGUGCGCCUGCUGCUCCUCCACUCAGCCACGAGCACCAUCCGCCGCACCAUCCAUCCAUCCCAGCCGCGCCGUGCCAUCCAUCCACCACUCCACCAGCGUCACUAGCUCCACUUCACCACCGCGCCUCACCAGCGCCCACCUCGCGCGCCCCUCCUGCCGCUUCCUCUCUGAACCCGCUGUUGCUGCUGCAUCUUCCUUCUUCCUCUCGACCUCCUGUUGCUCUUCUCCAAGCACCGCUGCUGCUCCUUCCUUGCAACCCCCCUGCUGUUGUUCAUCCUCUCCACCUCCUUGCGCCUCCCUGCCGGUACCCUUCUCUGCUCAAAACUGCUGCUGCUUGUGCACUCCAGCUUCUCCUUCUUCUCCUGCCUACUGCUGGUUCUUCUUCCCCACAUCACUUUUGCUGCUCCUCUUCUCUGCCUCGCUACUGUUCUUCUUACCUGAACCUCAAAAUUGCUGCUGUUCUCUUCUAAACAACAAAACUGCUGCUACUACUACCUCAACCUCCUAUUGCUUUCUUUCUUUCUCACUCUCUUUUAAAUUUCUGUAAGAUUGAGACGCAUGUGAUUUGUAUUAUUCAGAUUUGAUAAGUGUUAGUAAUCUACUGUUGUUCAGUUCAGACUUCCUGUGUGUGUUAAUUAGUUAAAAUUGUCACUUGUGUACUGCUUGUUGCAGAUUCUUGCUCAUUUUUGUUGUCUAUGUGUUAGCUCAUGCAUCUGAGAAUUAUAAAGACAUAUGUGUGUGUGGUUGAUGUGAAACAAUUAUAUAUAUGUCUCAUGUUUGUUAGUUAGUGGUUUGUAUAAAUUCAGAUUACUACUUGUGAUUUAAUUUUGUAUUGAAAUUGUUCUCUGUGGUAGUCAGUUGUGUGAUCAUUCAAUUUUCAGUCUAUGUAUUAGCUCUGUACCUGUAAUAUAUGUUGUGACAUGAAGCAUUUUCAUCCUUGUCCAUUAUCUUGUUUCUUCACUCUGUCAUACGCUUGUUAGAUAAAUAUAUGUGUUCAUGUCCUGUUGUUCCCUUUUGUGUUAGCAUUUUAGUUUCUCAAGUAACAGGAAAACACCAAAAAAGACAAUAUAGACAAUCUGAACCUCCCCUUUGCUUAUUUUACAUUUUCUUUGGCGACGAUCUUCGGGAACUACCUUGUUAGUUUAGGUUUAUUUUCUUGCAUUUAUAAUCUGAGUUCUGUCACCUAGCUUUAGCCGAGCAUUGUUGCUGUCGCCUAGUCCCUGUGGAGAACACGACACUCACAGUUCGGGUGAAAUAUCCCGCAGUACUUUCAAUCGAUCAUUUUGGCGCCGUUGCCGGGGACUAGCGUCGUGUGACCGUGUUAGGCUAUAGACUAGGUUUUGCUUCUGUUUCUAUCUGGUGCCAUAUAUUUGUGAUAUAUCUCUUACCCCUAACCACUGUUCUAGUUAUCUUCUCUUUCUUUUCUUGUUCAUUUUGUAGGUUGAAUUGUCUUCUCGGAUAUGGCUUACUAUUCAGAUCAUCAUGCUUAUGCGAGCAACACUACAAACAACACGGAAAGUAUUCAAGAACUGAUAAGUAAGAUUUCCCAUCAAUUAGAUGAUUUAGCUCAGCAGCGAGGAGUAGUUUUUGAGGAUAGGCCUAGUUCUUAUUAUCCUUAUUCCGGAAGCAAUCCUUAUGUUGCUCCUACAUGCCAUAUUUGUGGAUUUCAGGGCCAUUCGCCCGCUGAAUGUCAGCGUGGUUACUCUCACACUCCAGAUUGUUUUGGCAUGAGCUUCGCUCAAGAGCAUAGCUCAUACCAAAACAAUUACUCACAUGGGUGUCCUGAAAACCCGAAUAUGUCAUAUAGGAGCAACAACCCCGAGAUCUCACCGCUUGCUUCUAGUAAUCAUAUGCAGGGAUUUAGGUAUGAAGAGGAGAGCCACAGCUAUGCUCCACAACAGUCUUAUUCAGCUCCUAUUCAUAUACCUCAGCACGAGGAGAUGUUGCCAAUGGAGUUAAAUGGUCCUCCAUUUGGUCAACCAACACCUUCAACACAAGUGCCUACUCAAGAUGAGUUUGAUGACAUAGACAAGUUCACACUUUUGAGUCUUGAGUUCAGUUGGAGUGCCGAGGAUGAUCCUAUUAGGAAGGUUAUACUAGAUGAAAUGAAGAAGAUCAAGAGUGGGAAUGAGCUAGUGGAAGAAGUAAAGAAGAUUGAGAAGAACAUCAACGCUGGCAGCUCUAUUUCUUCACAGCUAGAGCUGAGUGUUGCUGAGAUUCCCCUUGAUACAUGUGAGGUUCCAACACCUUCACAUUUCGUUGAGCAAGUUAGCAAGUGCCUUGAGCAAGAGAUACCUCAGAUUGAAGAAGAUGAACUAGAAGACAAGGACCAAGAUGGUCAAGAGCUGCAAUUCCCAAGUGAUCAAGUUGAAGACUCAUCAUCUACUACUGAAGAACUACAAGAAGCUGCUGUAGAUAAAGAUGAAGAUCAUGAGAUUCAUUUGCCUAUUGUCAUACCAGAGCGUGAUGUGUCAGGUUUACUCAAUCCUCUUGAUGACAUGAUGCCUUGUGAUUUCUUUGCUACUACCUUGCUUUACAUGAUACUAUCACUUAAGAUUGAUUUGAAAACUCAUUUGCUUGGAUAUGAUGAUAUAUACCCUGUUAGUGGUAUUACUCUCAUUUGUGAUGAUCAUAGUUACUUUCCUCGUGCUAAUCCUAUGCUUAAUGAAACAUAUCACUCCCAUGCUAGUCUUGCACUUAAUGAUAAAUGUCAUCCUCGUGUGAGUAUUGACCAUGCUGAUUUCUGCCAUCCUAAACAUGUGCUUUAUAGUUAUGCUUAUAUAAUUGGAUAUUCCAUUGAUGACUUGGAGGGCAUCGACCGUAUCACUUGUAGUUGUUUGUGUGAGUCCUAUUUCAGGCUUUUGCUACUGCACUGUUUACUACAUGCUGACCAGGUUUGAGGUGACAUUCCUUGGGAUCCUGGUGGAGUCACAGCAUGGCGAUGAGGGGAGCACAAACAGGGAACACAAACAGAGAAGAGUGGAGAGAAGAAAGUAGGAGAGAAGAGUAUACAAAUACCAGGUGAUUCUGUUCCACUUGAAGCAACCUUUAGAAAAUUUAGUACGAGAACUGGCAUUUUAUUGCAUUGAAACGCUUUUUGCAUUGUGACACCUUACUCUUCACUGCAAAGUAGGAUUCACUCCAAGAAGAUUGUUGAUUCUCUUAAUACUAAAACUAUGCAGCAGUAUUCUUCUUAUGGUAAUUUGUGAUAAUGAAUACUUUAUACCUCCAUGUAAAUGUUCAAUGGGAAUGCCUUGAGUCUAAGUGAAACCUACUAAUGAAUUGAUGUGCUGUGUCUGACUGUCCCACGUUAAGCUAAGUAACUGGUGGCACUUAAGUAGUAGCUAUGAUCUCUGGAUCUGUAGUAUGUGAAAAACAGUGCCAUUAGUUAUGGAUUCCUCUUUCAAUUAUUCCUGUUUUACUUAAGCUAAGUAAUUUUCAAAUAACUAAAUAAAAUAAUUAUAAUAUUUUAAGUCCGAUCGACCUAUAGUAGCAUGUCAUGUUCCCUGGAUCGGUGGCUUGUGAAAUCUGGUAGAUUGGACUCUAAAAAAAAAUUAUAUAAAAAUGCUAUAAUUUGUCGAACCAGGUGUAUACCAUGUUCUCGGGAUCGGUGGUAUGUUCCUUUGGGGAGAUAACAAAAAAAUAUACUAAUAAUUUGGUCGAGCCAGGUGUAUACCAUGUUCUCGGGAUCGGUGGUAUGUUCCUUUGGUGAGACUGAUAUAAUAUCAUCACUUGUGCUUUAAAUUCAAUAAGUAACUUGUUUUUCUAAUUGAUUUUGGGGUCCCAGCUUAUCUCAGGGCUGAAGACAGAGCCAGCUCUUGAUUAUUAGUAUUCACUUUGACUCAAGGCCAUUGACUUGGAACAUUUACAGUGUGUUAUAAAAUAUUUCUUAUCACAAUUUAGCUUCAGUAGAGUACAUUUGCUUAGUUCCAGUAUUGUCGGAAUUACUAUCUAUCGGAAAGUGCAUAUUUACUAGGCAGUGUGAGUUGUGUCACCAUCAAAUUUUUUUUCCUUUGCUCGAGGACAAGCAAAGAUUUAAGUGUGGGGGAACUUGAUAAGCACAUUUCUUAUAUACUAUUUGGGCACACAAAUUCACCUUUUAUUGAGAUAUAUCCAUCCAUUCUUGCUAUGACUUGUUGAAUAUUUGAAUGAUAACCAUAAAAGAGAAUGUUGACUAGUGAAUUGUUUAUUUUGCAGAAAAGUGCGCAAAUGCACUAUAAUCGUCAAGACUUCUACUAUGUGGCUAACGAGAAGAGAGAAGGGCAUGAAAGAAAUACGUCAAGGCUUGAGCGUGAAGGAAAGAAGUAAUGUAGGGGAGCAAACUAAAAGAAGAGGAGGAUCUUCUUGGGAAGAAAGAAGAAAGGAGGAGGGCCAAAGUAAAAAAAGACAAAACAGAGGAGGGGAUCAAAAAUCCCUAGCGCAGCCGAUCCCCAUCAGGCCUCGCAUCUCACCUCUCUCCCUCACCCCUCCUUCUCCACCACCGGCCGUCGCCGCGGCCAGGCCGGCGUGGCGGUGCGCCUGCUGCUCCUCCACUCAGCCACGAGCACCAUCCGCCGCACCAUCCAUCCAUCCCAGCCGCGCCGCGCCAUCCAUCCACCACUCCACCAGCGUCACCAGCUCCACUUCACCACCGCGCCUCCACCAGCGCCCACCUCGCGCGCCCCUCCUGCCGCUUCCUCUCUGAACCUGCUAUUGCUGCUGCAUCUUCCUUCUUCCUCUUGACCUCCUGUUGCUCUUCUCCAAGCACCGCUGCUGCUCCUUCCUUGCAACCCCCCUGUUGUUGUUCAUCCUCUCCACCUCCUUGCGCCUCCCUGCCGGUACCCUUCUCUGCUGAAAACUGCUGCUGCUUGUGCGCUCCAGCUGCUCCUUCUUCUCCUGCCUACUGCUAGUUCUUCUUCCCCACAUCACUUUUGCUGCUCCUCUUCUCUGCCUCGCUACUGUUCUUCUUACCUGAACCUCAAAAUUGUUGCUGUUCUCUUCUAAACAACAAAACUGCUGCUACUACUACCUCAACCUCCUGUUGCUUUCUUUCUUUCUCACUCUCUUUGAAAUUUCUGUAAGAUUGAGACGCAUAUGAUUUGUAUUAUUCAGAUUUGAUAAGUGUUAGUAAUCUACUGUUGUUCAGUUCAGACUUCCUGUGUGUGUUAAUUAGUUAAAAUUGUCACUUCUGUACUGCUUGUUGCAGAUUCUUGAUCAUUUUUGUUAUCUAUGUGUUAGCUCAUGCAUCUGAGAAUUAUAAAGACUGUGUGGUUGAUGUGAAACAAUUAUAUAUAUGUCUCCUGUUUGUUAGUUAGUGGUUUGUAUAAAUUCGGAUUACUACUUGUGAUUUAAUUUUGUAUUGAAAUUGUUCUCUGUGGUAGUCAGUUGUGUGAUCAUUCAAUUUUCAGUCUAUGUAUUAGCUCUGUACCUGUAAUAUAUGUUGUGACAUGAAGCAUUUUCAUCCUUGUCCAUUAUCUUGUUUCUUCACUCUGUCAUACGCUUGUUAGAUAAAUAUAUGUGUUCAUGUCCUGUUGUUCCCUUUUGUGUUAGCAUUUUAGUUUCUCAAGUAAUAGGAAAACACCAAAAAAGACAAUACAGACAAUCUGAACUUCCCCUUUGCUUAUUUUACAUUUUCUUUGGCGACGAUCUUCGGGAACUACCUUGUUUAGUUUAGGUUUAUUUUCUUGCAUUUAUAAUCUGAGUUCUGUCACCUAGCUUUAGCCGAGCAUUGUUGCUGUCGCCUAGUCCCUG